UACGAAGGGGACUAGCGUUGUUCGGAAUCACUGGGCGUAAAGCGCACGUAGGCGGAUGUGUCAGUCAGGGGUGAAAUCCCGGGGCUCAACCUCGGAACUGCCUUUGAUACAGCACGUCUCGAGUCCGGAAGAGGUGGAUGGAAUUCCUAGUGUAGAGGUGAAAUUCGUAGAUAUUAGGAAGAACACCGGUGGCGAAGGCGGCCCACUGGUCCGGUACUGACGCUGAGGUGCGAAAGCGUGGGGAGCAAACAGG
Molecule: ribosomal RNA, 253 nt
Filed under: uncultured bacterium
Lineage: Bacteria
Description: partial 16S ribosomal RNA
Rfam family: Bacterial small subunit ribosomal RNA
Source: RNAcentral